UUCUGUCCUUCUUCAGAUGUCAUGCCUAAAGAUGUCUCUACCACUAACCAGGAUGAAACAUGUAAAGCCUGAGGAGAACCAGUUCAACAAAGUUUACAAACCCAAGUGAUAGGACCAAGCUUUAAGCUAAAAGAUGGGAGGUAGUACAAGGAAGAAAUUCUUUAGAGGAUGGUGAGGCCCUGGUACAGUUUACUAGAGAAGCUAUGAAUGCUGUGUCACCAAAGAUGUUCAAGGUCAAAUUGCAUGGGCCCUGGGAAACCUUGUCUACUGUGAGAUGUCCCUGCUUAUGGCAAAGGAGUGAAUCAUAAUUUUCUGUGCCCAAAUUACUGUAGAGUAGGAAAGAUGGAGGGAAGACUUGAUCUUUCUGGAGUGUUAAAUUGUAUGAAUGAGAAAGGGAUAAAUUGCUUUUCAUGUAAACUUUGGAAACUUUGGAUAAGAUAAUAAAGGUUUAUAAGGAACUCAAGCUUUCCCAGAAAAAAAAAAAAAAAAAAAAAAGCUAACUGCUUGACUGCUUGACUAUGACAGACUGAAGAGAAGAAAAAGUUUAGCAGGAUAAACAUAAUCCUAACAGUUUCAUCAUAGUAAAAAAGAGAUUUAGGAAAGUAUGGCAGAGGAGUUCAGAAUAUAUAUUCUCCUGUUUGUUUUCUUUCAGUUUUUUCAGACUUUUUAAAGGGGCUUUUAAAAAGUUAUAGAUACAAAUGCAUGUUCAUAUUUUAAAAGAAAACAAUCCAGUUGGAAAGAAAAUCUAAAGAAUAUGAUACAGAGGAAGUGAAAGAACAAUAUGAAGAAAUCUGGGCAGUAAACUUGGGGUAAGGAAAAAAAAAUGGAGGAAGUUGUAUUUACGGCAAAAGGAAAGAAAUAAUGAGAAAUCUAAUCAGACAGUUUCUUCUGAGACUGCAAGAAGCAGCUAUUUCCUAGAAGAGGAAAAAUUUGGAGAAAAGAGAAAGCAAGUAGUGACAUAUGCAACUCAUCAAGGCUGAAACCAUCAAAUUGUCAGCCUCACUGCCAAAGAUCAAUUCAAAACUCUGAGAAGUGUGAUGAGGUAGGUUUUCCAUCAUUAAAAUUCUUCAGCACUGUCAAAAUGUCAUGGGCUUUUAUUUAAUCUGUUUAUGACUAGCAGGAGUUAAUGGGAUUGUGUGGUAAAAUGGGAUUUUCUAGAAAGCUACAAUGUUGCGAUUUUCAAAAAUAAGUUUAAGCAAGCAGUAUUAGAAAUCUGUUAUUAGCACAGCG
RNAcentral lists this long non-coding RNA (1230 nucleotides) under Coturnix japonica (Japanese quail). RNAcentral describes it as "lncRNA (ENSCJPG00005018335.1)". Lineage: Eukaryota; Metazoa; Chordata; Aves; Galliformes; Phasianidae. The record is from RNAcentral.